This 75-nucleotide transfer RNA is filed under the name Actinomyces urogenitalis. RNAcentral describes it as "tRNA-Gln". It matches the Rfam family "tRNA". Rfam says of the family: Transfer RNA (tRNA) molecules are approximately 80 nucleotides in length. Their secondary structure includes four short double-helical elements and three loops (D, anti-codon, and T loops). Further hydrogen bonds mediate the characteristic L-shaped molecular structure. tRNAs have two regions of fundamental functional importance: the anti-codon, which is responsible for specific mRNA codon recognition, and the 3' end, to which the tRNAs corresponding amino acid is attached (by aminoacyl-tRNA synthetases). tRNAs cope with the degeneracy of the genetic code in two manners: having more than one tRNA (with a specific anti-codon) for a particular amino acid; and 'wobble' base-pairing, i.e. permitting non-standard base-pairing at the 3rd anti-codon position. Lineage: Bacteria; Bacillati; Actinomycetota; Actinomycetes; Actinomycetales; Actinomycetaceae. The record is from RNAcentral. RNAcentral also lists the same sequence under 2 other names.
UCCGCCCUGGUGUAGUGGCAGCACGCAGGCCUUUGGAGCCUUGAGGCCCGGGUUCGAACCCUGGGGGCGGAGCGA